AGAGGAUCAUAUACGCCGGUAGGAAGGACGGGCUGGAAUCUCUCGGGGUUACAGCCUUGCUGAAUUAUUCACCCUUGUCUUUUGCGUACUUCUUGUUUCCUUGGUGGGUUCGCCCACCACUAGGACAAACAUAAACCUUUUGUAAUUGCAAUCAGCGUCAGUAACAAAUUAAUAAUUACAACUUUCAACAACGGAUCUCUUGGUUCUGGCAUCGAUGAAGAACGCAGCGAAAUGCGAUAAGUAGUGUGAAUUGCAGAAUUCAGUGAAUCAUCGAAUCUUUGAACGCACAUUGCGCCCUUUGGUAUUCCAAAGGGCAUGCCUGUUCGAGCGUCAUUUGUACCCUCAAGCUUUGCUUGGUGUUGGGCGUCUUGUCUCUAGCUUUGCUGGAGACUCGCCUUAAAGUAAUUGGCAGCCGGCCUACUGGUUUCGGAGCGCAGCACAAGUCGCACUCUCUAUCAGCAAAGGUCUAGCAUCCAUUAAGCCUUUUUUUCAACUUUUGACCUCGGAUCAGGUAGGGAUACCCGCUGAACUUAAGCAUAUCAAUAAGCCGGAGGAA
Molecule: ribosomal RNA, 556 nt
Filed under: Alternaria palandui
Lineage: Eukaryota; Fungi; Ascomycota; Dothideomycetes; Pleosporales; Pleosporaceae
Description: eukaryotic LSU rRNA
Rfam family: 5.8S ribosomal RNA (bases 180-333)
Source: RNAcentral